This 858-nucleotide ribosomal RNA is filed under the name uncultured bacterium adhufec78.25. RNAcentral's name for it is "bacterial SSU rRNA". It matches the Rfam family "Bacterial small subunit ribosomal RNA", at positions 30 to 900 of the family's 1533-position model. The record is from RNAcentral.
CGAACGCUGGCGGCGCGCCUAACACAUGCAAGUCGAACGAGAGAUGAGGAGCUUGCUCUUCAAAUCGAGUGGCGAACGGGUGAGUAACGCGUGAGGAACCUGCCUCAAAGAGGGGGACAACAGUUGGAAACGACUGCUAAUACCGCAUAAGCCCACGGCUCGGCAUCGAGCAGAGGGAAAAGGAGCAAUCCGCUUUGAGAUGGCCUCGCGUCCGAUUAGCUGGUUGGUGAGGUAACGGCCCACCAAGGCGACGAUCGGUAGCCGGACUGAGAGGUUGAACGGCCACAUUGGGACUGAGACACGGCCCAGACUCCUACGGGAGGCAGCAGUGGGGAAUAUUGCACAAUGGGGGAAACCCUGAUGCAGCGACGCCGCGUGGAGGAAGAAGGUCUUCGGAUUGUAAACUCCUGUUGUUGAGGAAGAUAAUGACGGUACUCAACAAGGAAGUGACGGCUAACUACGUGCCAGCAGCCGCGGUAAAACGUAGGUCACAAGCGUUGUCCGGAAUUACUGGGUGUAAAGGGAGCGCAGGCGGGAGAACAAGUUGGAAGUGAAAUCCAUGGGCUCAACCCAUGAACUGCUUUCAAAACUGUUUUUCUUGAGUAGUGCAGAGGUAGGCGGAAUUCCCGGUGUAGCGGUGGAAUGCGUAGAUAUCGGGAGGAACACCAGUGGCGAAGGCGGCCUACUUGGGCACCAACUGACGCUGAGGCUCGAAAGUGUGGGUAGCAAACAGGAUUAGAUACCCUGGUAGUCCACACCGUAAACGAUGAUUACUAGGUGUUGGAGGAUUGACCCCUUCAGUGCCGCAGUUAACACAAUAAGUAAUCCACCUGGGGAGUACGACCGCAAGGUUGAAAC